CUGUAGCUCAGUUGGAUAGAGCGUUCGCCUCCUAAGCGGAAGGUCGCUGGUUCAAAUCCAGUCAG
RNAcentral lists this transfer RNA (65 nucleotides) under bovine gut metagenome. It matches the Rfam family "tRNA", at positions 5 to 66 of the family's 71-position model. From Rfam's summary of the family: Transfer RNA (tRNA) molecules are approximately 80 nucleotides in length. The record is from RNAcentral.